UACGGAGGGGGCUAGCGUUGUUCGGAAUUAUUGGGCCUAAAGCAUCCGUAGCCGGCUCUGUAAGUUUUCGGUUAAAUCCAUGUGCUCAACGCAUGGGCUGUCGAAAAUACUGCAUAGCUAGGGAGUGGGAGAGGUAGACGGUACUCGGUAGGAAGGGGUAAAAUCCUUUGAUCUAUCGAUGACCACCUGUGGCGAAGGCGGUCUACCAGAACACGUUCGACGGUGAGGGAUGAAAGCUGGGGGAGCAAACCGG
RNAcentral lists this ribosomal RNA (253 nucleotides) under uncultured archaeon. RNAcentral describes it as "partial 16S ribosomal RNA". It matches the Rfam family "Bacterial small subunit ribosomal RNA", at positions 524 to 776 of the family's 1533-position model. The record is from RNAcentral.